UUGUUUAGGAGAGCUGGCUUGG
This 22-nucleotide microRNA is filed under the name Macaca fascicularis (crab-eating macaque). Its description in RNAcentral is "novel_miR38-3p". The record is from RNAcentral. Lineage: Eukaryota; Metazoa; Chordata; Mammalia; Primates; Cercopithecidae.